RNAcentral lists this transfer RNA (74 nucleotides) under Planctomycetes bacterium HGW-Planctomycetes-1. RNAcentral describes it as "tRNA-Arg". It matches the Rfam family "tRNA". Rfam says of the family: Transfer RNA (tRNA) molecules are approximately 80 nucleotides in length. The record is from RNAcentral. Lineage: Bacteria; Pseudomonadati; Planctomycetota.
GCGUCCGUAGCUCAAUUGGAUAGAGUGCCGGCCUACGAAGCCGAAGGUUGCAGGUUCGACUCCUGCCGGACGCG